This 18-nucleotide non-coding RNA is filed under the name Arabidopsis thaliana (thale cress). Lineage: Eukaryota; Viridiplantae; Streptophyta; Magnoliopsida; Brassicales; Brassicaceae. The record is from RNAcentral.
GGGCCUGGCUCAACCCGC